CCUACGGGUGGCAGCAGUGGGGAAUAUUGGACAAUGGGCGAAAGCCUGAUCCAGCCAUGCCGCGUGUGUGAAGAAGGCCUUCGGGUUGUAAAGCACUUUCAGUGGGGAAGAAAGCCUUGGGGCUAAUACCCUCGAGGAAGGACAUCACCCACAGAAGAAGCACCGGCUAACUCCGUGCCAGCAGCCGCGGUAAUACGGAGGGUGCGAGCGUUAAUCGGAAUUACUGGGCGUAAAGCGCGCGUAGGCGGUCUGAUAAGCCGGUUGUGAAAGCCCCGGGCUCAACCUGGGAACCGCAUCCGGAACUGUCAGGCUAGAGUGCAGGAGAGGAAGGUAGAAUUCCCGGUGUAGCGGUGAAAUGCGUAGAGCUCGGGAGGAAUACCAGUGGCGAAGGCGGCCUUCUGGACUGACACUGACGCUGAGGUGCGAAAGCGUGGGGAGCAAACAGGAUUAGAUACCCCAGUAGUC
This 465-nucleotide ribosomal RNA is filed under the name Vreelandella stevensii. RNAcentral's name for it is "partial 16S ribosomal RNA". It matches the Rfam family "Bacterial small subunit ribosomal RNA", at positions 338 to 795 of the family's 1533-position model. Lineage: Bacteria; Pseudomonadati; Pseudomonadota; Gammaproteobacteria; Oceanospirillales; Halomonadaceae. The record is from RNAcentral.